RNAcentral lists this small nucleolar RNA (112 nucleotides) under Carlito syrichta (Philippine tarsier). RNAcentral's name for it is "Small nucleolar RNA SNORA28 (ENSTSYG00000023927.2)". Lineage: Eukaryota; Metazoa; Chordata; Mammalia; Primates; Tarsiidae. The record is from RNAcentral.
AAGCAACACUCUGUAGCAGAUGGUCAAUACACAAUUUGAACUUUCAAGAAAGUCUAACCUAUUAACGUGUUCUCUCUUUCCUGAAACAAGUUGUUUUCUAGACUUAAACUAA